GCAUGGGUGAUUUGGAUGGAGUAUUUAUCAGUGCUGAUCACUUGGAUUGCUUUGGCUGAUCUGGCUGGCUUGGAGGAUUUUCCAUUCUUCCCUCAUUGUUCCAUAUGUUUCCUUUCCAAAACCUUUCCCUCUGUGGAAGAGAACAUUUUCCGCUAGCUGAAGUGGGAAAGCCACAAAGCCAAAGUUCUCUUUUGAGAGUCUGUUAAAAAGUUAUUCUUUAGCAAAACUACUUGUAUCUGAAGAUGUAGAUUGAAAAUUCAUCUUAUACAAUGU
Molecule: non-coding RNA, 273 nt
Organism: Equus caballus (horse)
Lineage: Eukaryota; Metazoa; Chordata; Mammalia; Perissodactyla; Equidae
Source: Rfam